Molecule: non-coding RNA, 89 nt
Organism: Paramuricea clavata
Lineage: Eukaryota; Metazoa; Cnidaria; Anthozoa; Malacalcyonacea; Plexauridae
Source: the annotation of a GenBank genome assembly
GUUAAGAUGAAAAUGUUCUAGAGUGUGUAUUAUGGAAAUUGUGGUAUGGAAAUUAUAUAAUACACACUCUAGAACAUUUUCAUCUUAAU